This 73-nucleotide transfer RNA is filed under the name Bradyrhizobium sp. Its description in RNAcentral is "tRNA-Val". It matches the Rfam family "tRNA". Rfam says of the family: Transfer RNA (tRNA) molecules are approximately 80 nucleotides in length. Their secondary structure includes four short double-helical elements and three loops (D, anti-codon, and T loops). Lineage: Bacteria; Pseudomonadati; Pseudomonadota; Alphaproteobacteria; Hyphomicrobiales; Nitrobacteraceae. The record is from RNAcentral.
GCUCCGUUAGCUCAAUGGGAGAGCAUCGGUUUUACACACCGACACUGACCGUGUUCGAUCCACGGACGGAGUA